UACGGAGGGGGCUAGCGUUGUUCGGAAUUACUGGGCGUAAAGCGCACGUAGGCGGCUUUGUAAGUUAGAGGUGAAAGCCCGGGGCUCAACUCCGGAAUUGCCUUUAAGACUGCAUCGCUAGAAUUGUGGAGAGGUAAGUGGAAUUCCGAGUGUAGAGGUGAAAUUCGUAGAUAUUCGGAAGAACACCGGUGGCGAAGGCGGCCUUCUGGACAGUGACUGACGCUGAGACGCGAAAGCGUGGGGAGCAAACAGGG
This 254-nucleotide ribosomal RNA is filed under the name uncultured bacterium. RNAcentral describes it as "partial 16S ribosomal RNA". It matches the Rfam family "Bacterial small subunit ribosomal RNA", at positions 524 to 777 of the family's 1533-position model. The record is from RNAcentral.